This 199-nucleotide long non-coding RNA is filed under the name Capsicum annuum. Its description in RNAcentral is "long non-coding RNA (CANN_LNC011548)". The record is from RNAcentral. Lineage: Eukaryota; Viridiplantae; Streptophyta; Magnoliopsida; Solanales; Solanaceae.
UAAUUUUAAAUAUCUUGGAUCUAUGAUACAAGGGAAUGGUGAGAUUGGCGAGGAUGUCUCUAAACGUAUUGGAGUAGGUUGUAUGAAGUGGAGGCUCGCCCCGGGAGUGUUGUGUGAUAAGAAGGUACCCCUUAGUCUUAAAGACAAAUUCUACAGAGUGGCAAUCCGUCCAGCCAGGUUGUAUGGAGCGGAGUGUUGG